AGAGUUUGAUCAUGGCUCAGAACGAACGCUGGCGGCGUGCUUAACACAUGCAAGUCGCGUGCGCAGUUGCCGUAGCAAUACGGUGAUGGGCGCACGGCGCACGGGUGCGUAACACGUGGGCAGUCUGCCCUUUGAUGGGGAAUAACCCGCCGAAAGGCGGGCUAAUUCCGCAUAAGAUUCUUUGGACCUCGGUCUGAAGAUUGAAAGCAGCAAUGCGUCGAAGGAGGAGCCCGCGCCCGAUUAGCUAGUUGGUGAGGUAAUGGCUCACCAAGGCAAUGAUCGGUAGCUGGUCUGAGAGGAUGAUCAGCCACACUGGAACUGAGACACGGUCCAGACUCCUACGGGAGGCAGCAGUGGGGAAUCUUGCACAAUGGGCGAAAGCCUGAUGCAGCGACGCCGCGUGGGGGAUGAAGCAUUUCGGUAUGUAAACCCCUUUCGACUGGGAAGAAUGCCUCGCAAGAGGAGUGACGGUACCAGUAGAAGAAGCCCCGGCUAACUACGUGCCAGCAGCCGCGGUAAGACGUAGGGGGCCAGCGUUAUUCGGAAUUACUGGGUGUAAAGGGUUCGUAGGCGGUGCGGCAAGUUGGGAGUGAAAUCUCUGGGCUUAACCCAGAGGCUGCUUCCAAAACUGCUGUGCUCGAGUGUGAGAGAGGCUCGUGGAAUUGCAGGUGUAGCGGUGAAAUGCGUAGAUAUCUGCAGGAACACCCGUGGCGAAAGCGGCGAGCUGGAUCACUACUGACGCUGAGGAACGAAAGCUAGGGGAGCAAACAGGAUUAGAUACCCUAGUAGUCC
RNAcentral lists this ribosomal RNA (792 nucleotides) under uncultured bacterium. RNAcentral describes it as "bacterial SSU rRNA". It matches the Rfam family "Bacterial small subunit ribosomal RNA", at positions 8 to 796 of the family's 1533-position model. The record is from RNAcentral.